This 28-nucleotide non-coding RNA is filed under the name Bombyx mori (domestic silkworm). Lineage: Eukaryota; Metazoa; Arthropoda; Insecta; Lepidoptera; Bombycidae. The record is from RNAcentral.
AAGCCACUAUCAUCAAAUAAUUGCUGUA